GUCCCUGUAGUGCAAAGGAUAGUGCGUUGGACUUCUAAUCCAAUGUUCGUGAACUCAAAUCCCACCUGGGAUG
Trichonephila inaurata madagascariensis is the source of this 73-nucleotide non-coding RNA. NCBI's taxonomy places the organism in Eukaryota, Metazoa, Arthropoda, Arachnida, Araneae, Nephilidae. The record is from the annotation of a GenBank genome assembly.